RNAcentral lists this ribosomal RNA (253 nucleotides) under uncultured bacterium. Its description in RNAcentral is "partial 16S ribosomal RNA". It matches the Rfam family "Bacterial small subunit ribosomal RNA", at positions 524 to 776 of the family's 1533-position model. The record is from RNAcentral.
UACGAGGGGGGCAAGCGUUGUUCGGAUUCACUGGGCGUAAAGGGUGCGUAGGCGGUUGGGUAAGUCUGAUGUGAAAUCUCACAGCUUAACUGUGAAACUGCAUUGGAUACUAUCCAACUCGAGGAAUGGAGGGGAGACUGGAAUACUUGGUGUAGCAGUGAAAUGCGUAGAUAUCAAGUGGAACACCAGUGGCGAAGGCGGCCCCCUGGUUGGAUACUGACGCUGAUACGCGAAAGCGUGGGGAGCAAACAGG